UCGUUAGUAUAAGUAUGUUCUAUGCAGUAUUAAGGACAUAUUUAUACUAAAA
This 52-nucleotide microRNA precursor is filed under the name Canis lupus familiaris (dog). Its description in RNAcentral is "mir-1302 microRNA precursor family". It matches the Rfam family "mir-1302 microRNA precursor family". RNAcentral also lists the same sequence under 2 other names. Lineage: Eukaryota; Metazoa; Chordata; Mammalia; Carnivora; Canidae. The record is from Rfam by way of RNAcentral.